UAUUUUGGCAGAUUAGUGUAUUUGAUUUAGAAUCAUUUUAAGUAAAAUUUUAUUACAAGUAAUAN
RNAcentral lists this transfer RNA (65 nucleotides) under Cautires katarinae. RNAcentral's name for it is "tRNA-Leu". The record is from RNAcentral. Lineage: Eukaryota; Metazoa; Arthropoda; Insecta; Coleoptera; Lycidae.